CAUCUGCUGGCCGGGCUGGGUUCCCUCGCCCCCCUCGGGGUGCGGGUGGCUGAGCCCGCGGAGGGCCCGUUCGUGCUGGUGCGGAUGCC
This 89-nucleotide transfer RNA is filed under the name Streptomyces cinerochromogenes. RNAcentral's name for it is "tRNA-Gly". Lineage: Bacteria; Bacillati; Actinomycetota; Actinomycetes; Kitasatosporales; Streptomycetaceae. The record is from RNAcentral.